GCCGUCCCAGUGGCAAAGAGGUAACUCUGCUCGAUCAUAAUGGAGAAUUCGAAGUGAAAAACAUAGACAUUUCACUGCAACGUUACCUGGUUCUUAAACAACGAAAAGGCUGCUUCUCCGCUACUCCUGAUGAUUCCUAUUCGCAAACUGGAACAUAUCUCGCCUUCGUCUUCGCCGACGACAAUUUGCCUAGCAGUGAAGUCGACCAAUGCAUAGAACAUUCUUGUCAGCUGAUCACCAAUUAUGGUGAAUGCAUCCAAACCGCUUGCAGAAGGCAGUAGAAGACACGAGCACCGCAGAAUCAACAGGAUUCUACAUCCGUUAAUAAAUUCGUCCGCAAUUAUGCGCAUAAUUUAGUGAGUCGAGAGUGUGCCACGAACACACCAUAAAAGAUCUGCAUGAUCGUACCAACAUAAUUUCUUGAUGUGUUGCGGAUGCGAAACGUUGGACAAAAUAGGGCUACAU
This is a long non-coding RNA of Dermacentor silvarum, 465 nucleotides long. RefSeq lists it as uncharacterized. Lineage: Eukaryota; Metazoa; Arthropoda; Arachnida; Ixodida; Ixodidae. The transcript is spliced from 3 exons. The record is from RefSeq and is a predicted model, not a curated record.